GUCGAGAAUAAUUCACAAUGGACGAAAGUCUGAUGGUGCAACGCCGCGUGGAGGAUGACGGUCUUCGGAUUGUAAACUCCUGUCAUCCGGGAGUAAGACCUGACUGUGAAUAGCAGACAGGGUUGAUAGUACCGGAAGAGGAAGGGACGGCUAACUUCGUGCCAGCAGCCGCGGUAAUACGAAGGUCCCGAGCGUUGUUCGGAAUCACUGGGCGUAAAGGGAGCGUAGGCGGCGUGGUAAGUCAGAUGUGAAAUCCCGGGGCUCAACCCCGGAACUGCAUCCGAUACUGCCGUGCUAGAGGAUUGGAGAGGUAGCUGGAAUUCUUGGUGUAGCAGUGAAAUGCGUGGAGAUCAAGAGGAACACUCGUGGCGAAAGCGAGCUACUGGACAAUAUCUGACGCUGAGGCUCGAAGGCCAGGGUAGCGAAAGGGAUUAGAAACCCGGGUAGUCC
This 450-nucleotide ribosomal RNA is filed under the name uncultured bacterium. RNAcentral describes it as "partial 16S ribosomal RNA". It matches the Rfam family "Bacterial small subunit ribosomal RNA", at positions 354 to 796 of the family's 1533-position model. The record is from RNAcentral.